This 579-nucleotide transfer RNA is filed under the name Nunduva kania FCME C458-M16-K66. RNAcentral's name for it is "16S-23S ribosomal RNA intergenic spacer". The stretch from base 303 to 375 matches the Rfam family "tRNA". The record is from RNAcentral. Lineage: Bacteria; Bacillati; Cyanobacteriota; Cyanophyceae; Nostocales; Rivulariaceae.
UUAAGGGAGACCUUACCCAUUCAUACAUCGAGCAUUGUAAUAGAUGAUGAUUGUGGUCAUCCCAAGGUCGUGCGUAGGCUAGGUAUUGAAAGGCUUUCAAACAAUUAUAGGUUCGGUUCGAUAGAACUAAUAACCUAUGGGCUAUUAGCUCAGGUGGUUAGAGCGCACCCCUGAUAAGGGUGAGGUCCCUGGUUCGAGUCCAGGAUGGCCCACCUGAAGAUAGUUAGGAGUUAAGAGUUAAGAGUUAGGAAUAAAUAAUUCAUAACUUGCAACUAAUAACUCAUAACUUAUAACCUUGAUUUGGGGGUAUAGCUCAGUUGGUAGAGCGCUGCCUUUGCAAGGCAGAUGUCAGCGGUUCGAGUCCGCUUACCUCCACCAAAUUUUCUAUAGGAAAUAUUUCAGCACCCAGACUAUAUAGGAAAGAGUCGGAAUGCUGGAUUGUUAUCCAGUCAGAACCUUGAAAACUGCAUAUUCACGCGAAAUGAUUUAGGUAGUCUUUAAUCACCUUGCGUAUUUAAAGAAAGUAUCUAGAUAUCCUAUUUUGUAUAAAAGCCAAUGAUUAAGUUGGAAAAUCUUUGU